This 427-nucleotide ribosomal RNA is filed under the name uncultured bacterium. Its description in RNAcentral is "bacterial SSU rRNA". It matches the Rfam family "Bacterial small subunit ribosomal RNA", at positions 355 to 774 of the family's 1533-position model. The record is from RNAcentral.
UGGGGAAUUUUGGACAAUGGGCGCAAGCCUGAUCCAGCCAUUCCGCGUGCAGGACGAAGGCCUUCGGGUUGUAAACUGCUUUUGUACGGAACGAAAAGGCUCUGGCUAAUACCUGGGGCCCAUGACGGUACCGUAAGAAUAAGCACCGGCUAACUACGUGCCAGCAGCCGCGGUAAUACGUAGGGUGCAAGCGUUAAUCGGAAUUACUGGGCGUAAAGCGUGCGCAGGCGGUUAUGUAAGACAGAGGUGAAAUCCCCGGGCUCAACCUGGGAACUGCCUUUGUGACUGCAUAGCUGGAGUACGGCAGAGGGGGAUGGAAUUCCGCGUGUAGCAGUGAAAUGCGUAGAUAUGCGGAGGAACACCGAUGGCGAAGGCAAUCCCCUGGGCCUGUACUGACGCUCAUGCACGAAAGCGUGGGGAGCAAACA